This 741-nucleotide ribosomal RNA is filed under the name uncultured Methanotrichaceae archaeon. RNAcentral describes it as "bacterial SSU rRNA". It matches the Rfam family "Archaeal small subunit ribosomal RNA", at positions 94 to 837 of the family's 1478-position model. The record is from RNAcentral. Lineage: Archaea; Methanobacteriati; Methanobacteriota; Methanomicrobia; Methanotrichales; Methanotrichaceae.
UAACACGUGGACAACCUACCCUUAGGACGGGGAUAAACCCGGGAAACUGGGUAUAAUACCCGAUAGUCCUCGAAUGCUGGAAUGCAUCGAGUACUAAAGCUCCGGCGCCUAAGGAUGGGUCUGCGGCCUAUCAGGUAGUAGUGGGUGUAGCGUACCUACUAGCCUACGACGGGUACGGGUUGUGAGAGCAAGAGCCCGGAGAUGGAUUCUGAGACACGAAUCCAGGCCCUACGGGGUGCAGCAGGCGCGAAAACUUUACAAUGCUGGAAACAGCGAUAAGGGGACCUCGAGUGCCAGGUUACAAAUCUGGCUGUCGUGAUGCCUAAAAAGCAUUGCAUAGCAAGGGCCGGGCAAGACCGGUGCCAGCCGCCGCGGUAACACCGGCGGCUCGAGUGGUAACCGUUAUUAUUGGGUCUAAAGGGUCUGUAGCCGGCCGGAUAAGUCUCUUGGGAAAUCUGGCAGCUUAACUGUCAGGCUUUCAGGAGAUACUGUCUGGCUCGAGGCCGGGAGAGGUGAGAGGUACUUCAGGGGUAGGGGUGAAAUCUUGUAAUCCUUGAAGGACCACCAGUGGCGAAGGCGUCUCACCAGAACGGACCUGACGGCAAGGGACGAAAGCUAGGGGCACGAACCGGAUUAGAUACCCGGGUAGUCCUAGCCGUAAACGAUACUCGCUAGGUGUCGGCCACGGUGCGACCGUUAUCGGUGCCGUAGGGAAGCCGUGAAGCGAGCCACCUGGAAGUA